CCUCUGGAUAUGUGCAGGCUGUAAGAGGCUUCUGGCUGGGCUUAUGUUCCUCUGUUUCACUGUUGCUUAUUUCUCUUGUCUCAGUAGAGUGACACCAUAUCUGGAUAAUCACAAAAUGAAGAAUAACAAUUAAUGCCAAAUGGUGGUUGAAUCAGCGACAUUACAGUUACUAGUCCUGAACUUUAACCACUAUGCCACACCACCUAAAAUAACUUAUGUAUUAUGUUUGGGUAUGCAUGCUAUAGAGGCAAACUGAUGACAUUUAAACUGGUAUCUCGCAAAUCACAUGUGCUCCCAAGUUGCAAAAUAAAAAAAUAAAAAUCUUGCAAGUCUCACCAUAUCAAACAGAGCCAUGCCAAAGUUGAUGGCUAUAGCUGUGACAGUGAGAAGGUUCCGCAUACUGUUGUUUUCAUGGAUCCAGCAGCAGAACUGCUGAAGGACACUGGGAAAUUGUUUAAACUCUUCAGCCAAGACUAUCAUAAGCAAUAAGAGAUAUCCCAGCAAGAAUAGACAGAACUCCAGUGCUGUCCAGUAAUAAAACCUGUAGGUGCUGAACAUCGAUUGAGUAAACUCUACCUGGGUACAGGAAUGAGGGCUUGGACAGCCAUGUGAAGAAGAAACAUGAUGAAGGAACAUACUAGAUUGGUCUUAAACAUCUCGUCCCUUACCUGAGAGAACUGAAUCAUGAAGCAAAAUAUAAAACAGGUCAUAUCCUGCCCCUUAUACCUUCUCCUCAAUGUGUGUAUCCUUAAACACCAAUGUCGCUGAAGUUAUAUGCUCCUGACGCAUGCGCUCACUGCUGCGAAGAUCUAUAGCAUGCUCUAUCCGUUUGUUGAUCUCCUUGGAUGUAGAUCUGCACACUGAGGAUGUAGGAAGUUGUGUGCAAGACCCAUGGGAGAAGGAGGCCAAUAUCUGUAAAGUUAAAGUUCAGCAGAGAAGUAGACCCAUUAUACAAAAAUUGGGCGGUGGCUUUGCUGAGGUUUUAAAUGAUCUGCUUCCCUUCCAUCUAGAUCCUCCUCCUUGUGGCAGAUAAGGAAAGUGUCAAUCUUGUGUUUUCGUAAGAACUCAUUGCGUUCAUAUCCACGCCCGUUC
Long non-coding RNA from Carassius gibelio (silver crucian carp), 1092 nucleotides. RefSeq lists it as uncharacterized. The transcript has 4 exons. The record is from RefSeq and is a predicted model, not a curated record. Lineage: Eukaryota; Metazoa; Chordata; Actinopteri; Cypriniformes; Cyprinidae.